This 225-nucleotide unclassified non-coding RNA is filed under the name uncultured Alphaproteobacteria bacterium. RNAcentral's name for it is "contains 16S-23S intergenic spacer region". It matches the Rfam family "Bacterial small subunit ribosomal RNA", at positions 980 to 1198 of the family's 1533-position model. The record is from RNAcentral. Lineage: Bacteria; Pseudomonadati; Pseudomonadota; Alphaproteobacteria.
AGCCCUUGACAUCCCGGUCGCGGGCACGAGAGAUCGUGUCCUUCAGUUCGGCUGGACCGGUGACAGGUGCUGCAUGGCUGUCGUCAGCUCGUGUCGUGAGAUGUUGGGUUAAGUCCCGCAACGAGCGCAACCCUCGCCCCUAGUUGCCAGCCUUAAGUUGGGCACUCUAGGGGGACUGCCGGUGAUAAGCCGAGAGGAAGGUGGGGAUGACGUCGUAUCUCACUG